This 658-nucleotide ribosomal RNA is filed under the name uncultured bacterium. RNAcentral's name for it is "bacterial SSU rRNA". The stretch from base 1 to 541 matches the Rfam family "Bacterial small subunit ribosomal RNA", at positions 338 to 873 of the family's 1533-position model. The record is from RNAcentral.
CCUACGGGAGGCAGCAGUAAGGAAUAUUGGUCAAUGGGCGCAAGCCUGAACCAGCCAUGCCGCGUGCAGGAAGACGGCCCUAUGGGUUGUAAACUGCUUUUGAACAAGAGAAAACCUCGGUACGUGUACCGAGCUGAUAGUAUUGUUAGAAUAAGCAUCGGCUAACUUCGUGCCAGCAGCCGCGGUAAGACGAAGGAUGCAAGCGUUAUCCGGAUUCAUUGGGUUUAAAGGGUGCGUAGGCGGCCUGAUAAGUCAGUGGUGAAAUCUCUCAGCUUAACUGAGAAACUGCCAUUGAUACUGUCGGGCUUGAGUACAGAUGAUGUGGGCGGAAUAUGACAUGUAGUGGUGAAAUACUUAGAUAUGUCAUAGAACACCGAUUGCGAAGGCAGCUCACAAAACUGUAACUGACGCUGAGGCACGAAAGUGCGGGGAUCAAACAGGAUUAGAUACCCUGGUAGUCCGCACCGUAAACGAUGAUUACUCGUUGUUGGCAAUAUGACCGUCAGCGACCGACGACGAAGACGAGUAAGUAAGUACCACCCGUACGGGAGGUACGGACCCGGCCGAACCGGUACGUAAACGUUAAAACGUUAAGUAAGUUAGUACGGACGUUAGGAGACGUUAGGCCGACGGACGACGACGAGGGGAGGUUAGGGAG